GAUGAACGCUAGCGGCAGGCUUAAUACAUGCAAGUCGAGGGGCAGCACGGUUAGCAAUAACUGGUGGCGACCGGCGCACGGGUGCGUAACACGUAUACAAUCUACCUUAAACAGGGGGAUAGCCUUUCGAAAGAGAGAUUAAUACCCCGUAAUAAAUUGAACGGCAUCGUUUGAUUUUGAAAGCUCCGGCGGUUUGAGAUGAGUAUGCGUCUGAUUAGCUAGUUGGUGAGGUAACGGCUCACCAAGGCGACGAUCAGUAGGGGAUCUGAGAGGACUAACCCCCCACACUGGUACUGAGACACGGACCAGACUCCUACGGGAGGCAGCAGUAAGGAAUAUGGUCAAUGGAGGCAACUCUGAACCAGCCAUGCCGCGUGCAGGAUGACGGCCCUAUGGGUUGUAAACUGCUUUUAUACAAGAGAAAACCCUGGUACGUGUACCAGGUUGAUAGUAUUGUAAGAAUAAGCAUCGGCUAACUUCGUGCCAGCAGCCGCGGU
RNAcentral lists this ribosomal RNA (497 nucleotides) under uncultured bacterium. Its description in RNAcentral is "bacterial SSU rRNA". It matches the Rfam family "Bacterial small subunit ribosomal RNA", at positions 28 to 521 of the family's 1533-position model. The record is from RNAcentral.